RNAcentral lists this non-coding RNA (27 nucleotides) under Mus musculus (house mouse). Lineage: Eukaryota; Metazoa; Chordata; Mammalia; Rodentia; Muridae. The record is from RNAcentral.
UGUUAUAUGCAUUGGUGGUUUUGCCUC